RNAcentral lists this non-coding RNA (31 nucleotides) under Rattus norvegicus (Norway rat). The record is from RNAcentral. Lineage: Eukaryota; Metazoa; Chordata; Mammalia; Rodentia; Muridae.
UUUCAGAAGAAGCACCAAGAAAGACAUUGAG